Mycetomoellerius zeteki is the source of this 420-nucleotide long non-coding RNA. RefSeq lists it as uncharacterized. The transcript is spliced from 3 exons. NCBI's taxonomy places the organism in Eukaryota, Metazoa, Arthropoda, Insecta, Hymenoptera, Formicidae. The record is from RefSeq and is a predicted model, not a curated record.
UGCCAUCAUCGAUGAAUGAGACGCAAUUUGAUGCGAGUAUAACGUAACACGCUCGCUCGAUGUUGGUCGAUGACAAAACGGACGAGUCUCUCCGGUUUGCCACUUCGAAUCCGGAUUGCCGGAUUAGUUUUACAGCACAAGACGUAAAUCCCAAAGAGAAAAGGGAUAAAGACGCGACCGUUAUCUUUUACAACAAGCUGGCGAUAGCCAGUAGCAAAACACAUUAGAGGCUACUUUAUAAAGCAUGCAUAAAUAUCAUUUGGACGAAAGCUGCGAACGCGUGUACUCGAGAAGACAUGCAGGCGGCAGUAAUAGUUGCAAUCCACAAACUGUCCUCGAGCGAUACUUGGCGUAAUGAUAAGAGCUACAGCACACAGAAAAACGUAAAGCAAUAAGACGUAAGCAAUGAGGGAAUCGACC